UUUAUUUUCAAACCGGCCAAUUUUAGGCCAAUUCCUACCAUUUCUCUUCUGAUUUUCCUAUCUCCUUCACCUGCAACUUGCUCAACUACCUUCCUCCUUCCCUCUCUACCAAAAAUUAAGGGUUUUUAAGGUCUAUUUCAUGUAGAACUCCAUAGGAGAACCCGGGGGGUUCUCGACGACGAAUUGUCAUUCCAGAGAGUAUCACCAUUCACAUCACCCUUAAUCAACUUCCCUUGGACCCAAGAACAAGAACCAACUGGUGGUUGGGGCAUUGGAACACCAAGGAAGCCGAAUUGAAGAAGGUUUUGUUGGGUGCGAGCCAAUUUGAGGGCCUUCCUGGCUAAAUUGGACUCGGCCACAGGCAGUGAUUGAACGUGAUGCCUUGACUAUCGUGCUAGGGUACAUUAGCACAGACUCUAGGCAUUGAUCGUUCAGGUGACAGGUUUGAGUAGACUCCAAGAAUUUUGUAGGUGGGUUAGCAGUGCAAUUAUCAGAAACUUGGAGCGUUAGGUUACCCUUGUUUCACUUUUGUACUUUAUCUUUUGGGACUUUCUUUUGAGCACCUCAUACUUGUCCUUAGUAAAGCAAAGAUUAUGCUUCUUUUUGGGAUGUACAUAUUUGUAAAUAUUUUGUGGAGAACUUAGCCACCUUCACAUUAUUUUGGAUUAUCAGUUAAAGUAUUUCAUUCUGUAUC
Malus domestica (apple) is the source of this 694-nucleotide long non-coding RNA. RefSeq lists it as uncharacterized. Lineage: Eukaryota; Viridiplantae; Streptophyta; Magnoliopsida; Rosales; Rosaceae. The record is from RefSeq and is a predicted model, not a curated record.